UGCAGAGAAGAGGGAGAAGGAAAAGGCCAAAGAGAUAAAGCUUGCAUCAAAAAGUAGUAUAUUGGCUAAUAAAAAGAAGAUCAAUAAUGUUUUGACAAUGUGGAAGCAACGAAGUCAUGAAGGACAGGCAACCCGUGUGGCACUUGAUGACAACCAAAGUUUAGCAUCAACCGAAGACAAGUCUUUCCCUCUUGGACAAUCCAUG
Molecule: unclassified non-coding RNA, 205 nt
Filed under: Hevea brasiliensis (rubber tree)
Lineage: Eukaryota; Viridiplantae; Streptophyta; Magnoliopsida; Malpighiales; Euphorbiaceae
Source: RNAcentral